UACGUAGGGGGCAAGCGUUAUCCGGAAUUAUUGGGCGUAAAGAGCGCGCAGGUGGUUAAUUAAGUCUGAUGUGAAAGCCCACGGCUUAACCGUGGAGGGUCAUUGGAAACUGGUUGACUUGAGUGCAGAAGAGGGAAGUGGAAUUCCAUGUGUAGCGGUGAAAUGCGUAGAGAUAUGGAGGAACACCAGUGGCGAAGGCGGCUUCCUGGUCUGCAACUGACACUGAGGCGCGAAAGCGUGGGGAGCAAAUAGG
This 253-nucleotide ribosomal RNA is filed under the name uncultured bacterium. RNAcentral describes it as "partial 16S ribosomal RNA". It matches the Rfam family "Bacterial small subunit ribosomal RNA", at positions 524 to 776 of the family's 1533-position model. The record is from RNAcentral.